UUUAAAUGUAGCCAUAAAUUUUCGUGUACUUCCAACUUUAAUCGUUCGUCUUAUUUGAAAUUUUUUUAUAAUUAGUAUUUUUAUUGUUAUUAGAUGAUAAAACAUGAAUAGUAAUUUAUGUGUGAUUUAUGUUUUUUAAUUUUUUUUAAAUAAGACGAAUGAUCAAAGUUGAACAUAAAAGCUCACGAUUGCACUUAAA
MicroRNA precursor from Oryza rufipogon (brownbeard rice), 199 nucleotides. It matches the Rfam family "MIR812 microRNA precursor family". The record is from Rfam. NCBI's taxonomy places the organism in Eukaryota, Viridiplantae, Streptophyta, Magnoliopsida, Poales, Poaceae.